GCAAUAGCUCAGUAGGUAGAGCACGAGACUCUUAAAUCUCAGGGUUGGGGGUUUGAGCCCCAUGUUGGGCA
RNAcentral lists this transfer RNA (71 nucleotides) under Podarcis lilfordi (Lilford's wall lizard). Its description in RNAcentral is "tRNA.Lys". Lineage: Eukaryota; Metazoa; Chordata; Lepidosauria; Squamata; Lacertidae. The record is from RNAcentral.